GACGAACGCUGGCGGCGUGCUUAACACAUGCAAGUCGAACGGAAAGGCCCUGCUUUUGUGGGGUGCUCGAGUGGCUAACGGGUGAGUAACACGUGAGUAACCUGCCCUUGACUUUGGGAUAACUUCAGGAAACUGGGGCUAAUACCGGAUAGGAGCUCCUGCUGCAUGGUGGGGGUUGGAAAGUCUCGGCGGUUGGGGAUGGACUCGCGGCUUAUCAGCUUGUUGGUGGGGUAGUGGCUUACCAAGGCUUUGACGGGUAGCCGGCCUGAGAGGGUGACCGGCCACAUUGGGACUGAGAUACGGCCCAGACUCCUACGGGAGGCAGCAGUGGGGAAUAUUGCACAAUGGGCGGAAGCCUGAUGCAGCAACGCCGCGUGCGGGAUGACGGCCUUCGGGUUGUAAACCGCUUUCGCCUGUGACGAAGCGUGAGUGACGGUAAUGGGUAAAGAAGCACCGGCUAACUACGUG
Molecule: ribosomal RNA, 468 nt
Filed under: uncultured bacterium
Lineage: Bacteria
Description: partial 16S ribosomal RNA
Rfam family: Bacterial small subunit ribosomal RNA
Source: RNAcentral